Molecule: non-coding RNA, 629 nt
Organism: Poecilia reticulata (guppy)
Lineage: Eukaryota; Metazoa; Chordata; Actinopteri; Cyprinodontiformes; Poeciliidae
Source: RefSeq, a predicted model, not a curated record
GAGCUGCUCUUCUCCUCAGCCCCUUUGGCUAAAAGCUAAAGCCCAUGAAAGUGUAGCAGUUUAGCUAAUAAGGCAGAUUAUCAUGAUUCAGCCAAAGUAAUAAAAUAACCUGCAGCCUGAAUUUUACUGUUAAUGUGUUUCUACCUAUUGAGCAGCGAAAUUAAUUAAAUGUUUACAUUUAAGUAUUUACUUACUGGAGGGUUUUAUGUUUGUGAUGCAGAGCCACAGCUAACAGCUAGAAGGUACAGCUAGCAGCCACAGCUAACAGCUAGAAGGUACAGCUAGCAGCCACAGCUAACAGCUAGAAGGUACAGCUAGCAGCUAGAAGGUACAGCUAGCAGCUAGCUCCUCACUAGCAACUCUGACCAGCCUGCGUUGCUCCGCCUACCCUUUGGACUGAACCAUUGUUCUAAUAAUGGCUCUUAUUUUUUUCUGAGAUAAAUGGCAGAUUCAUUUUGUUUUUUUGUUUCUUUUGCCUUUUAAUAUUAUUUAAAUGCAAACGUGUCUUAAAUAAUUUUUUGGUGGGGGAGGGGUUGGGAGACAAUUCCAGACUUUUCUGUAUGAUUCUGCAUAACUAUAAUGUAAAUCAGUGCUCAUUAUGUGAAAUAAAGGAUUUUAAUAAAUCUGGA